UUAAGCUACUAAGAGCGCACGGUGGAUACCUUGGCGUCAGCAGCCGAAGAAGGACGCAAUAAACUGCGAAAUGCUACGGGGAGCCGUUAUGGGCUACGAUCCGUAGGUCUCCGAAUGGGGCAACCCCGCUGAGUGAAGCUCAGCGACGCAUAUCUGAAUACAUAGGGUAUAGCGAGGUAAGUCCGGGAACUGAAACAUCUUAGUACCGGGAAGAAAAUAAAACAAAACAGUGAUUCCCUCAGUAGCGGCGAGUGAACGGGGAGGAGCCUAAACCGUUACGACGCAAGUCGUAGCGGGGUCGCGGGACUCCAUAAGGGAUGGGAUGAGAUUAGCCGAAGAGCUCUGGAAAGAGCCACCAUAGACGGUGACAGUCCGGUAAGCGAAAGUCUCUGAACCCCGGGAGUAUCCCAAGUAGUACGGGGCACGAGAAACCUUGUACGAAUCUGCCAGGACCAUCUGGUAAGGCUAAAUACUGACUGACGACCGAUAGUGAACAAGUACCGCGAGGGAAAGGUGAAAAGAACCCGAGAGAGGGAGUGAAAUAGAACAUGAAACCGUGUGCUUACAAGCAAUUGGAGCACUAUUUAUAGUGUGACAGUGUGCCUGUUGAAGAAUGAGCCGGCGAGUUACCGUACGUAGUUGGUUAAGCAGUUAAUAUGCGAAGCCAUAGGGAAACCGAGUCUGAUAAGGGCGUUGAUAAUUACGUGUGGUAGACCCGAACCCUGAUGAUCUAGGCAUGGCCAGGAUGAAGCGCGUGUAACAAUGCGUAGAGGUCCGAACCAACCGAUGUUGAAAAAUCGGUGGAUGAGCUGUGUUUAGGGGUGAAAUGCCAAUCGAAUCAGGAGCUAGCUGGUUCUCCCCGAAAGGCGUUGAGGCACCGCGUCAGAUUUAUCCUACAGGGGGUAGAGCACUAGUUCGGUGCGGGCGGAGAAAAUCCGUACCAAAUCGAGUUAAACUCCGAAUACCUGUAGCGUCAUUAUCUGGCAGUGAGAGUGCGAGAGAUAAGUUCCGUACUCAAGAGGGAAACAGCCCAGACUACCGACUAAGGUCCCAAAAUUCAUGCUAAGUGAUUAAGGAGGUGGAGUUGCAUAGACAACUAGGAUGUUGGCUUAGAAGCAGCCACCAUUCAAAGAAAGCGUAAUAGCUCACUAGUCAAGCGACUCUGCGCCGAAAACGUAUGGGGCUAAGCAUGAUACCGAAAUCGUAGGAUCGGAGUAAUCCGAUCGGUAGGGGAGCGUUCUGUUGUAGGACGAAGUGCGACCGGAAGGACGCAUGGACGAAGCAGAAGUGAGACUGUCGGCUUAAGUAGCGAAAACAUUGGUGAGAAUCCAAUGCACCGAAAGACUAAGGGUUCCCACGCAAGGUUCGUCCACGUGGGGUUAGCCGGGAGCUAAGAUGAGGCCGAGAGGCGUAAUCGAUGCACAACGGGUUAAUAUUCCCGUGCUACCUUGUAACCGCUAGGAGCUAAGUCGGGACGCAGGAGGCUAUACACAGGGGACUGAUUGGUUGUCCCUCCAAAGGCGUAGCUAGUCUGGGUAGGCAAAUCCGCCCGGGCGUUUUAACGUAAGGCCGAGUAGGGAAUGCUCUACGGAGCAAAUUGUGUAGAUGCCACGCUGCCGAGAAAAGCGGCGAAAGCCAGGUUACAUGGUACUCGUACCCGAAACCGACACAGGUAGUCAGGUAGAGAAUACUAAGGUGCGCGAGAUAACUCUCUCUAAGGAACUCGGCAAAAUAACCUCGUAACUUCGGAAGAAGAGGUGCCAUAUUAGGGUGUAAGACUUCGCGUCUGAAGCCUGAGAUGGUCGCAGCGACGAGGCUCAAGCGACUGUUUAUCAAAAACACAGGUCUCUGCUAAACCGUAAGGUGAUGUAUAGGGGCUGACUCCUGCCCAGUGCCGGAAGGUUAAGUGGAUCGGUUAGCGCAAGCGAAGCUGAGAAACAAAGCCCCGGUGAACGGCGGCCGUAACUAUAACGGUCCUAAGGUAGCGAAAUUCCUUGUCGGGUAAGUUCCGACCCGCACGAAUGGCGUAACGAUUUGAGCGCUGUCUCGGAGAGAGACUCGGCGAAAUAGGAUUGUCUGUGAAGAUACGGACUAGGCGUGCCAGGACAGAAAGACCCUAUUGAGCUUUACUGUAGGCUGAAAUUGUCUGCGGGCUAUAUCUGCGCAGGAUAGGUGGGAGACUUUGAAGUCAGGAUUUUGGUUCUGAUGGAGUCAACGUUGAGAUACCACUCUGAUGUAGCUAGCAUACUAACCUGAUUCCGUUAUCCGGGUCGGGGACAGUUUCAGUUGGGCAGUUUGACUGGGGCGGUCGCCUCCUAAA
This 2320-nucleotide ribosomal RNA is filed under the name wastewater metagenome. RNAcentral describes it as "bacterial LSU rRNA". It matches the Rfam family "Bacterial large subunit ribosomal RNA", at positions 3 to 2294 of the family's 2925-position model. The record is from RNAcentral.